RNAcentral lists this long non-coding RNA (315 nucleotides) under Rhinopithecus bieti (black snub-nosed monkey). RNAcentral's name for it is "lncRNA (ENSRBIG00000045357.1)". Lineage: Eukaryota; Metazoa; Chordata; Mammalia; Primates; Cercopithecidae. The record is from RNAcentral.
AUGUCAAAUGCUGUGCAUUCUCCACCCUACCCCAACCUCACAUCGCCACAAACACAUGGCUUUCUAUUGAUUCAAUGUGGCAUGAUAAAAUACAGACCCAGAACGAGGCCAAGCAUGCAGGAAGCAUUUCCGGAACAGAGGAUGAGUGAGUUUUGUCUUCGGAUCCUAAGCUUGCAACUCAUUAUUUAAUACUGAGCUUCUUAAUGCUACAUUUGAAAUAAGCAAGAGAUUCUCCUGUAGAUAAAUGAUAUUUCCCCUACAGAAAAUUACCUCAUCACGUGGAGUAGAAUGUCUCUUAAGGCCGUGGAGUGAGGA